AGCUCACAGACUGCGACCUGAGCCAAAGUCAGAAGCUCAACCGACUGAGCCACCCAGUGGCUACAGAAAACUUAAAAUUGCACAUGUGACUCAUGUGAUUUCUGCUGGACAGUGAAUUUCACCGUUAAUAAGAGCUAUGAAAAUGAUUGCCAUCUCUCAAGUCCCCCAUGGAGUCUGGAAAUUCAUGUAUCAGAUACCUUUGCUACCGACCCGUUGAACCCACUGAUCUGACCAAGCAAACCUAUGGGAAAAUGCUCUGAGAACUGCCCAGUGAGCCUCAGUGAUCGCUAAGGAAACACGGGUCACCCGUGGCCAACUGCUAUUAAAUGGUUGUUUAGUAACUUUAGUUACUUUGAAUAAAGAUGUUUAAAAAACCCCA
Prionailurus viverrinus (fishing cat) is the source of this 379-nucleotide long non-coding RNA. RefSeq lists it as uncharacterized. Lineage: Eukaryota; Metazoa; Chordata; Mammalia; Carnivora; Felidae. The record is from RefSeq and is a predicted model, not a curated record. The transcript is spliced from 2 exons.